GGUAAAGGCCCACCAAACCCAAGAUCUGUAAGGGCCCUGAGAGGGGUAGCCCUGAGAAGGUCACUGAGAUACUGGACCUAGCCCUACGGGGUGCAGCAGGCGCGAAACCUUUACACUGCACGCAAGUGUGAUAAGGGAAUCCCGAGUGCUCAUGUUUUACAUGGGCUUUUGAGAUGAGUAAAAAUCAUUUCGAAUAAGUGGUGGGAAAGACUGGUGCCAGCAGCCGCGGUAACACCAGCGCCACAAGUGGGAAUCACAUUUAUUGGGCCUAAAGCGUCCGUAGCCGGUUUGGCAAAUCUUUUGUGAAAUUGUUGGGCCUAACUCAACAAACUGCAAGAGACACUACCAAACUUGGAACCGGGAGGAGUCAGAAGUAUUCCGGGGGGAGCGGUAAAAUGUUAUAAUCCUCGGAGGACUACCUGUGGCGAAGGCGUCUGACUAGAACGGAUUCGACGGUGAGGGACGAAAGCUAGGGGAGCAAACCGGAUUAGAUACCCGAGUAGUCCUAGCUGUAAACUCUGCGAGCUAGGUGUUGUGUAUUCUACUGGAAUAUGCAGUACCGAAGCGAAGGUGUUAAGCUCGCCGCCUGGGAAGUAUGGUCGCAAGGCUGAAGCUUAAAGGAAUAGGCGGGGGAGCACCACAAGGGGUGCGGCGUGCGGUUUAAUCUAAUUCUACACAGAGAAUCUCACCAGAGGCGACGGCAGUAUGAUGGUCAAGCUGAAGACUUUACCUGACGAGCCGAGAGGUAGUGCAUGGCCGCCGUCAGCUCGUGCUGUAAGGUGUCCUGUUAAGUCAGGCAACGAGCGAGACCUGCAUCUACAAUUGCCAGCAAGUCCAUAUGGAUGAUUGGGCACAUUGUAGGGACUGCCCUGGAAACAGGGAGGAAGGUGCAGGCUACGGUAGGUCUGUAUGCUCCGAAUCUUCUGGGCUACACGCGCGCAACAAUGGCAGGAACAAUGGGCUACAACUCCGAAAGGAGAAGUUAAUCCUCGAAAUCCUGUUCUAGUCCAGAUUGAGGGUUGGAACCCACCCUCAUGACGAUGGAAUCCCUAGUAAUUGGAAGUUAUCAGCUUCCAGUGAAUAUGUCCCUGCUCCUUGCACUCACUGCCCGUCAAACCACUCGAGCAGGGCUCGGAUGAGGCUCAGUUUAUUGACUGUUCCGAAUCCGAGUUCAGUAAGAUGGGUUAAGUCGUCACAAGGUA
Molecule: ribosomal RNA, 1202 nt
Filed under: metagenome
Description: bacterial SSU rRNA
Rfam family: Archaeal small subunit ribosomal RNA
Source: RNAcentral